Molecule: long non-coding RNA, 1495 nt
Organism: Camponotus floridanus (Florida carpenter ant)
Lineage: Eukaryota; Metazoa; Arthropoda; Insecta; Hymenoptera; Formicidae
Exons: 3
Source: RefSeq, a predicted model, not a curated record
ACCACUCAUGUAAACUCGGCUUGAGGCUUCGGUAAUGUGACUUUCCUCUCUAUACAUUUCCCGCUCCCAGUCCACCCGUCAUAUCGAAAUGUGUCGCGGAAGGUUCAGCCCUCCCGCGUUAUUGCUAAGUUAACAGUGUUUAAUUAACAAUUAAUUACUUGGUACGCUUAAUAAUAAUGAUUGCAAUUUACUAUGUUAGCAGAUUCCGCCAGGCUAACCCGAUAUAUGUCAAUGACAGUGCUCAUAAAAACGGGAGAACGAGGAACAAGAUCAAUGUCAGGUUACAACAGUACUGACAGAAUAAAUAAUUAUUCAGAAACACAUUGUGUAGCGGGGCCAACAAUAAUCAUCAGCACCGCCACACGUUAGCUUAUUCCAUUGGAUGCGAAGGAACACCCCAGAACAACGCCGUACAGUUUCGAUCCUGUUAUAAUAGUACAACUAUAACGGAGAAGAUUCCCGCAACAAUCUUCUUAGUAUUCAUUUAUUAUCCGCAGCAAAACAUCAUAGCUAUUCUAUAAUGCUUCUAUACAGCAUGUUACUUGCUUAUUUAUGUUAUGUUUCUAACAACAGUCAUUCAGCAGCUGUCUAUAUAAUUUAUUAUCUUUUUCAGCUUUCUUUAGACAAUUCCUUUAAUGGGAAGACCACUGCACGCAUUACAAGGAUUGAGUUAUCACCCAGUGUCGACACACAGUAUCGACCAAAGUGAUGGCGAUCACAACUCUAUAAACAACCACCACAGUAUUAUACCGAGGCAGUAUUUAAGUCUGCCCAGCUGUCAUAAAUACCUUUUAUAUUGAGGUUAUAAAAAGCGGCAGUGCACGGGGAGUAUAUUUUACUUUUAUAUAUCAAUCAAUAAUACAAUUCCAUGCUACUCAUGGCCAGACGAACUCAGUAUUUUGUUAUUACUGUUAUUAUUAUAUCAGUCAAUCAAAUAUAUAUUAUAUUAGCCUGUGUUAAGUUUAUAUUUAACAAUAUUUAUACCGUAAUACCUGUGAGUGUAUACUACAGCCAAUUAUUUCUCUUUCCAGGUUUAUACACUUAGUGCAUUGAGAGUCGUCACUAAAGUCAAAUAAAUAACUACAAUGAUCCGUCUCAAUGCAGCAGCAAUUAAGUUUAGUAACGUCGCAGCUGAUCUGCAACCAGUUCAGGCAUAAGACAGGUCGAUCAAAUUAUCACCAUUAAUUACAAUAUAUGCUCGCAAUUACACAGAAAUUGCGUGUCAUGCAUCCAGUACGCAGUACCAAAAUCAACCAAUAAUCCUAUUAUAAUAUAUAAGGAGAGUAUUUAUUCACAAUUAUUAUCGUGAAAUAUGCCUCGAUUCGAUAAAAUAUAUAAAUUAUCACUAUUAAUUACAGUAAUUAUAUCACCGAGCUCAUUUUAAUUUAGUUAAUUUAAGUAAAUUAUUGCCCCUACGCAAGAAAGAAACUACUAGCUAUAUUUAUUCACUUAUCUGUCUAUUUACUUAUUGUCUUAUAUAUACACAAUAUAGGCA